AGAGUUUGAUCAUGGCUCAGGAUGAACGUUGGCGGUGUGCCUAAUACAUGCAAGUCGAACGGAGUUAAUAGCAAUAUUGACUUAGUGGCGAACGGGUGAGUAACGCGUUGGUGAUCUGCCUCGAAGUGUGGAAUAACGUUCCGAAAGGAACGCUAAUACCGCAUGUGCUCUCGAUUUUUAGAAACUUGAGAGUAAAGGAUUUAUUCGCUUCGAGAGGAGCCUGCGUCCCAUCAGCUGGUUGGUAGGGUAACGGCCUACCAAGGCUAUGACGGGUAGGGGACCUGAGAGGGUGGCCCCCCACAAUGGAACUGAAACACGGUCCAUACACCUACGGGUGGCAGCAGUAGGGAAUAUUAGAAAUGGACGAAAGUCUGAUCUAGCAACACCGCGUGUGCGAAGAAGGCCUUCGGGUCGUAAAGCACUUUUUGGAAGGAAUAGGAAGGAAUGUACUUCCAGAAUAAGUCUCGGCUAACUACGUGCCAGCAGCCGCGGUAACACGUAGGAGGCGAACGUUAUCCGGAUUUACUGGGCGUAAAGCGCGUGUAGGUGGUACUGUAAGUAGGGCGUGAAAGCUCCCGGCUCAACUGGGAGAGGCCGUUCUAAACUACAGAACUAGAGGAUGGUAGAGGGAGGUGGAAUUCCAGGUGUAGCGGUGGAAUGCGCAGAUAUCUGGAGGAACACCAGUGGCGAAGGCGGCCUCCUGGACCAUUCCUGACACUCAGACGCGAAAGCUAGGGUAGCAAACGGGAUUAGAGACCCCGGUAGUCCUAGCCCUAAACGAUGUAGACUAGGCGUCGGAAGUUUAAUCACUUUCGGUGUCCAAGCUAACGCGAUAAGUCUACCGCCUGGGGACUACGGCCGCAAGGUUAAAACUCAAAGGAAUUGACGGG
Molecule: ribosomal RNA, 890 nt
Filed under: uncultured bacterium
Lineage: Bacteria
Description: bacterial SSU rRNA
Rfam family: Bacterial small subunit ribosomal RNA
Source: RNAcentral